Molecule: transfer RNA, 74 nt
Filed under: Patulibacter medicamentivorans
Lineage: Bacteria; Bacillati; Actinomycetota; Thermoleophilia; Solirubrobacterales; Patulibacteraceae
Also listed under: 2 other names
Rfam family: tRNA
About the family: Transfer RNA (tRNA) molecules are approximately 80 nucleotides in length. Their secondary structure includes four short double-helical elements and three loops (D, anti-codon, and T loops).
Source: Rfam by way of RNAcentral
GGGCGCGUAGCUCAGUUGGCCAGAGCAUCCGGUUUACACCCGGAAGGUCGCCCGUUCGAGCCGGGCCGCGCCCA